UCCCUGGUGAUCUAAUGGUUAAGACUCAGUGCUUCCACUGCAGGGAACACAGGUUCGAUCCCUGGUCAGGGAA
RNAcentral lists this transfer RNA (73 nucleotides) under Ovis aries (sheep). It matches the Rfam family "tRNA". Rfam says of the family: Transfer RNA (tRNA) molecules are approximately 80 nucleotides in length. Their secondary structure includes four short double-helical elements and three loops (D, anti-codon, and T loops). Further hydrogen bonds mediate the characteristic L-shaped molecular structure. tRNAs have two regions of fundamental functional importance: the anti-codon, which is responsible for specific mRNA codon recognition, and the 3' end, to which the tRNAs corresponding amino acid is attached (by aminoacyl-tRNA synthetases). tRNAs cope with the degeneracy of the genetic code in two manners: having more than one tRNA (with a specific anti-codon) for a particular amino acid; and 'wobble' base-pairing, i.e. permitting non-standard base-pairing at the 3rd anti-codon position. Lineage: Eukaryota; Metazoa; Chordata; Mammalia; Artiodactyla; Bovidae. The record is from Rfam by way of RNAcentral.